UCUCUGCUUCACAUUACUCAGUGGCAGACGGAGCAGGCUGCCAGCGCCCAGCGUGUCCGCCCACACACCCCUGCCCCGGCGCCGCCGGUCAGACCUUUCGGCUAGAGGAGAUGAUGGAGAGAAUCUGGGAUCCAGGAGGGGGGUGGAUCCAGAGGAAUCCGAGACAGAGGCCCAGGUACUAGCCUCACCUCCAUCCUACAGGCAGAUCCACGGACAGCCCUCUAUGACAUGAGGCAUACACGGGAAUGGAUCCCUGAGGAAUACUAAAUGUGGUCAUACGGCAGUCACGCAGGAGAAGCCACCAGCACCGGCUAUGGUAAAUGGCAGCGUCUCCGGACCUGAGAUGGACGAGCAACCUUAAGACUACCCCACGCUGGGCUGCCCUUCACAAUAAUAAAAAGCCAUUACCUUGACCGCUGACACGAGGCCAAGUGUGAGGGUCAGAGUGAUAUUUAUUGAUGAAACUCUGAGCUCCCAAUCUGCUGCACUCAGUGCGCAUCAUACAGCUGUCAGCACAGACAGGGAUCAGGCUGCGUGAUGGCCCUCGACAUGGCCCAUCUAUAAUUUAUGAACUACACAGAAAACAACCAGGAGACAACAGAAGAAGCUCCUGUCUGCCCAGGGAUUAUUCUCCAGCCCAGCUAAGUGAGAACUAUGUGAGGGCCAGCGUGGGCCACACUGAUAUGGGCAGCAGGUAAGUACAACACUACUAGCGUUACAUAUUCAAUAGGGCCUCACCAAGCCGGGAGCUCCAUCUCUCUGGAGGACAGGCCCGGGGUGUGAAGAAUAUAAUAGACAGUGUUUACAGUGGGGAUGUAAAGUGGGUGCGCUGGUGCAUCACACAACCCAGCACACUUCAGCUGAGCCCUUUAAAUGAGCUGACGCUUUAACAAAAGAUGUAAAGUUUUCACUCUUCAAAGUACACAAAGGAGAUCGCCUGAGGGCUACAGUCGCCAUCGACUCUGUCCAAGGAGGUGAUCACAUGAUCUGGAGACUCCGGUGGUGUGCAUCUAUGGUGAGGGUUGAUGUUGGGUUCCUGAAGUGUGGCAUCAUGGGUCAAAGGUUGGCUGAUGUGGGACUGUUAGAACACUAUUGACUAUAGACUACUUUAUGUUCAUGUAAAUAAUAUUGGACUACUCCCUCUAUUACAAAUAAUACUAAGUUCUAGUACCAAUUCUACUGCCGCUAAAAUGACUAUGACUGUGUACUGUUGUAGCGAAAACAUAUUCCAGUACUCCUUUCCGAAUACUUCACUGGUGAUAUGGUGUUUACUGUCAUUAUUUGACUAUCUCUUUGUCCUCCGUGUUAUUUUUGCUGCAGAAACUGCGGGUGUUGCUUCUCUGGAGAAAACUUGAAAUGCAAUCCUUCAUCGACCCAUUUCCCUGACACUCUUCUUUUUACCCGCCGAAUUCAUCUGAAUUCUUUACAUAGACUGACACAUAUUGUCUGUGAUCAAUAAAUAAACAUAUAAUUGAAUACUGUUGCAUUCCCAAUGAAGCCCUCAUUUACCAAGCUUCAGUAAACAGGUUAACUAUCUGUCUGCCUCUCUAAGGCUGACAUUUCGAAAUCCAAACACAUUGUGGUCUG
Salvelinus fontinalis (brook trout) is the source of this 1587-nucleotide long non-coding RNA. RefSeq lists it as uncharacterized. The transcript is spliced from 3 exons. The record is from RefSeq and is a predicted model, not a curated record. NCBI's taxonomy places the organism in Eukaryota, Metazoa, Chordata, Actinopteri, Salmoniformes, Salmonidae.